Molecule: unclassified non-coding RNA, 317 nt
Filed under: uncultured fungus
Lineage: Eukaryota; Fungi
Description: partial contains small subunit ribosomal RNA, internal transcribed spacer 1, and 5.8S ribosomal RNA
Rfam family: Eukaryotic small subunit ribosomal RNA (bases 1-73)
Source: RNAcentral
GCAAACUUGGUCAUUUAGAGGAAGUAAAAGUCGUAACAAGGUUUCCGUAGGUGAACCUGCGGAAGGAUCAUUAAAAGUUUAGAAACGGCGGCGUGUCGGACGAGAGUCCGGCAGGCUUGCCCGAUCUUUUCAACCCUCUGUGAACCAUCAACCUUUGUCUAGGUAGCGCCUGGCUUCUGCCAGCGGUAAGGCUGCCAUAGACCCAUUUAAAACUAGUUGUUUGAGAAAUCAUUGCGGUCUGACAUAUCUUAUGAUUAAUUCAUAUUAAAACUUUCAGCAACGGAUCUCUUGGUUCUCGCAUCGAUGAAGAACGCAGC